GGAAUUACUGGGCGUAAAGCGCGCGUAGGCGGCUUUGUAAGUUAGAGGUGAAAGCCCGGAGCUCAACUCCGGAACUGCCUUUAAAACUGCAUCGCUUGAAUCCAGGAGAGGUGAGUGGAAUUCCGAGUGUAGAGGUGAAAUUCGUAGAUAUUCGGAAGAACACCAGUGGCGAAGGCGGCUCACUGGACUGGUAUUGACGCUGAGGUGCGAAAGCGUGGGGAGCAAACAGG
This 230-nucleotide ribosomal RNA is filed under the name uncultured bacterium. RNAcentral describes it as "partial 16S ribosomal RNA". It matches the Rfam family "Bacterial small subunit ribosomal RNA", at positions 547 to 776 of the family's 1533-position model. The record is from RNAcentral.